CACGUAGGCGGACCAGAAAGUCAGAGGUGAAAUCCCAGGGCUCAACCUUGGAACUGCCUUUGAAACUAUUGGUCUGGAGUUCGAGAGAGGUGAGUGGAAUUCCGAGUGUAGAGGUGAAAUUCGUAGAUAUUGGGAGGAACACCGGUGGCGAAGGCGGCCACCCUGGCCCGAGACUGACGCUCAAGUGCGAAAGCGUGGGGAGGCAAAACA
RNAcentral lists this ribosomal RNA (210 nucleotides) under uncultured bacterium. RNAcentral's name for it is "partial 16S ribosomal RNA". It matches the Rfam family "Bacterial small subunit ribosomal RNA", at positions 568 to 776 of the family's 1533-position model. The record is from RNAcentral.